UGAUUUUGCUACUGCCACUUACCUGUUCUGCACUUUUUUCUUGCAGCUCCUUUCGUUCAAUCCUGAGCCAACUGAAGUCAGCCUUCUGCUACAACACACAGCCCUCCAGGACCAUUCCAAAGCUGCAAUCCCAGUAUGGAAAAGUCUAAUGCAGCAAAAUGCCAUCCUGCACUUUCUUACAAAAGAAUCUGAGUGAGAACAUCAACGACAGGAGGAGAGCGAGGCCAAAACUGGAAGGGACAGCUGUUUGAAAUUUCCUCUUGGGCUCUCGCUGCUGGCACUGGUCCAGGCUGAGCCCUGGCUUGGCGCAAUGCUGCCAAAAUGUGACGUGUGUGGACCCUUCGAGGCCAAACAUGACGACGGAGAGCGGCCUGUCAGAUCAACACAGUGGACCACAUUACUACCACUGUGUGUGUGUGUGUCUUUUUUUUUUGCUCAUCAGGUGAUGUUGCACACACACUUGUGUAAAACUACCACAAAGCACUACGCUGUGAAAAAAAAAAAAAAUCAAGAAAACUGAAUCUUUAUGCUUUUUAAAAAACUACAACAAAUGAAGAGUGAUAGUGUUCUGACUAAGCGGUCACAGGGAGUGUGAGAAGAGACCUGUGUACAUGUGUGUGCGUGUGGGAAAGAGUGAUAAGAUAAGAGAUGGUGAUUUAAGGGGGAGUGCAUGCAUGUGAUGAGAAAAAGUGCAUGUGUGUGAGAUGGUGUUUUCUGGGAAUAACUUUAAAAAAUAAAUUUAAAAAAUCCCCGGGGGCUAAUCAAAUCCAGCUGUACGUCAAAAAUGGGCUGCGGGACAGACUUUGAACACCUCUGCCAUACAGAAUACAUAUGUAGCAUAUGAGCAUAUUUUUUCAAAAUGGUUCAUUUGUUUUCUUUGCUGAUUGGUUGGCUCUCCAUUAUAACUAGCCCAAUGAUGUACAUUAGUGUACUUAGACAAUUUAUUAGGUGCUCCAGAAAAAUUAAAUACUGUUGAAGGAAAACUCAGAAUAAACCAGAACAUCUGAUAAACAAACGAUAAAGUUGCAUGACUGGGCGACAUGUAUCACGGUUUUCCUGUCAGAAGACUGUUGCUUGAUUCCCAUUUGCAACAAAAGAUCAAAAAGUUUGCAUU
Long non-coding RNA from Dunckerocampus dactyliophorus (ringed pipefish), 1114 nucleotides. RefSeq lists it as uncharacterized. NCBI's taxonomy places the organism in Eukaryota, Metazoa, Chordata, Actinopteri, Syngnathiformes, Syngnathidae. The transcript has 3 exons. The record is from RefSeq and is a predicted model, not a curated record.